Molecule: long non-coding RNA, 205 nt
Filed under: Hordeum vulgare
Lineage: Eukaryota; Viridiplantae; Streptophyta; Magnoliopsida; Poales; Poaceae
Description: long non-coding RNA (HVUL_LNC010233)
Source: RNAcentral
UUAAUUAAUACUACCUAUUCAUAAAACAGAGAUCAUAAAUUUCAAGCCCAAUUGCGAGUACACAAUUAUAGAUCAACUUUAAGAUUAUUAACCUAAACUAUUUAUUGGCUGGUCUCACCAAGUCACACAGAGUAGCAUACUCACUGGACAAAUAAUAAAAUGGAAGUCAAAUACUUGAAGCCCAAGUGCCAGCACAGGCUUAUAA